This 3119-nucleotide long non-coding RNA is filed under the name Eutrema salsugineum. RNAcentral's name for it is "long non-coding RNA (ESAL_LNC001577)". The record is from RNAcentral. Lineage: Eukaryota; Viridiplantae; Streptophyta; Magnoliopsida; Brassicales; Brassicaceae.
GGUGUGGCCACCAAUUGGAAAGAAGAAGUUUGAGACUCUCUCUUACCUUCCUGACCUUACCGAAGUUGAAUUGGCUAAGGAAGUUGACUACCUUCUCCGCAACAAGUGGAUUCCCUGUGUUGAAUUCGAGUUGGAGGUAAUAAAAAUCGAAAAUCAUAUACAUAAAUAUUUAGAGUAGCUUGACCAUAUGAAUCUUGCAACGAUCUUAAAACUGUUUAGAGGUCCUAUGCAGAAUCUUGAUUUAUAUGUACAUAUUUGAAAUGUUCUUGAAUGGUUUUUGUAAUGUGUUUUGUAGAACGGGUUUGUGCACCGUGAGCACGGAAGCACUCCCGGAUACUACGAUGGACGUUACUGGACAAUGUGGAAGCUUCCUUUGUUCGGAUGCACUGACUCAGCUCAAGUGUUGAAGGAAGUGCAAGAGUGCAAGAAGGAGUACCCCCAGGCCUUCAUUAGGAUCAUCGGAUUCGACAACACCCGUCAAGUCCAGUGCAUCAGUUUCAUCGCCUACAAGCCACCAAGCUUCACCGAUGCUUAAGUCACUUUCUCUUAAAUCAUUCAUAUAAUAUUCUCAUUUGCAUUUCCAAUUGUCUCUGUUUCUUUUUUUCUUGGAUUUCUGUUUCUGAGACAUUUUCUAUCGAUCGGAUUGUCAAAAUGUCUGAUUUAUGAAUAUGUAAUUUAUGUUUCCCUCUUCUCCUUCUUGCUUAUUUUCUGAUGGUUAUUAGUUUUUAAAAAAUUACUGGGAUAAGGAAACAGACAAAAUCACGUCACACAAAGAAAGGUUGGAUAGUGUUAGUGGUAAUUUGUUAUAGGAAUAGGAAAACAUUAUUACCUAAAGAGCUUAGAUUUCAUAUGAAUAAUUAGUUCAUCAAAUAUUCAAAUAAGAAUCAUUGUAUCAUUUUAUUUUUGGAUGUCACAAUCACACAGUAUAAUAUGUACUUGUAGAUUUAUUAUAGAUUUCAAUCAUUUCAUAAAAUAGUCAUCUUUUGAUGUUUCACACUUCUUACGUGGAGUUUAUGAUAUGAUUUAUACCUAUACUCCAAAUUACUGGUAAACUAUCAUUGGAAUAUACGAUACACUAUAUAUACAUAUAUAUCAUAUAUAUAUAUAUUUACUCUAGAUACUAAUGACAUAUGUCAAUAGUUUUAGUAUGAAAAGCUAACUUGAGUUUUUUUUUUUAAAUACUAUUAUAGUAAAAAAAAAUUAUAGAAAGAAUGUAUGUAAAUUCCAGUUCAUACACGGAUUUAAUAUUUCAAAGGAAAGGAUGGUCCACUUGAAAUCUGUGAUAGACACUUUUGUGGACGGUGCAAUACAUAAGAUAGGCUUGUGGAUAAGAGUGAAAAUUCCCUUCUAUAAUUUUCUUAGUGAUCUUUAAUCCAUGCGAAUCAUGCGUGUCAUUCUGCUAUUAGUGUAUAGUAAGUUCAUCGACUUUAUGAAACCGUAAGAAAUCGUCAAUUUAGUUAGUUACGAAAACAUGUUUUUAAUGACUCUUUCAUAAAAUUUUGGAUUUUUAGUAUAAUAAGUUAUUGGUUGCUAGCGAAUGCAUAGAAAUGCACAAUGUACUCAAAAGAUUGGAGAUAAAACAAAAACUCCAAAUUGACUUAGUAAGGCCAAAAAUGAAAUAUAAAAUCAUAUUAACAAAAAAAAGGGGAAAAUAUGGCUCUUUGGUUCUUAUAUAUUAAAUGCAGGCCGAAAAAAUAGAUGAACGUUUAAAGUCUGUAAAUUAAAAUGGAAAUGAAAAAUUGGUUUAUUGUUCUGGAGACGCAAAAAUUUAGUGUAUUAAAAUGGUAAUAGAAAUUUAGUUUUUAUAUCAUUAUGGAGUUUUCUAAGUCCUUUCGCGAUUAUCACUUCCACAUCCGGUUCUUUACUUUUUGCUAGAAUGUCAGUGAACCUAAAAUCUACUGCAUUGAUCAUGCAUUAACCAUUAAAUGACAUCCAAAAACAUAUGCUGAUCUUUUGGCCAUUAAACGAUUAAACGGUAUACUUAUUAAGUUUAUCAAGAAGACAAGAGUGAGCGGCCAUUACACGGCACCCAAUAUAAUGAUGUCUUUACCAAUCACGUACAUCAUGCAUGCCUUGUAAUGAAUACUACUCCCUCUGUUCAGAAUUAUUUGAUGUUUAAAGUUUUUGCACACAGUUUAAGGAUUCAUUUAAUUUUUAUUUUUUCUAUACUAAAAAAUAUAAUUUAUAAUCUAUUUAAGUAUCAUUCAGCCAAUAAAAAGACAUUCUGCAAAAUAUAAAAUGUCAAAAAUUAUAAAAAUUCAAUAAAUUUUGCAUUAAAAAGUGAAAACAUCAAAUAAUUCUGAACAAAAAAACCUUCUAAAACAUCAAAUAAUUCUGAACAGAGGGAGUAUUAUUUAUAACAUGAUCUAACCAUUAGUUAUUUACAGUCCAUUGAUCCUCAUCCCACUAACAUUUCGAAAUAUUAUACGAAGUAAAACUAUAUUUCUGAUUCUGUUAUAUAAUAUGUGUUGUACUUUUUAAGUUCAUGUCUAAUUAUUGUCUGUUUUGGAUUCAAAUGGUAAAAUCCAUAUGAAUAUAUUUUUGAAUUCCUUCCCAAAAUGGGUUUUACUAAUUACUAUUAGACAUAAUUUAUAUAUUAGAUAUUCUUUGUCUAAAUUUCAAAUGUGAGAUCUUAAAUUAAUUGAUUCCCAACAAUCAUUUUCUCAAAAACCAUGGAUCACACAAACCAUUAGCCUCCAACCUCUAGUGAAACCUGGGGCAUCCAUCUUGUACUACCGUAUGCACCAACAAAACUCUUCACAUAAUCUUUACACAACCGUUAGAAAUAUUUUUCACACAAGGAACCGGCACCCCUAAUCGCGAGGUCAUCAUAAAUGUUUUUUCUCCCACAACGAAUAUUCAGCCCACACCCACUUGUCUAAGUCCACAUUUUCCAAAACCUCCAUCUAAAAACCAAUUCUUGGGCUUUUUAAGUCCAUGCCCAAGUAGCAAAUCUCGCAUGGAUAUGUUUUUGUACCCCUUCCCAAAAAGCCUCAUACUAAUUACUGUUGGACAUUGCUUAGAUACCGAAUAAUAUUUGCUUAAAAAUUUUCAAUGUGGGAUUUUGGAUUGAUUCCCAACAAUCAUCCUCUUAAACCAAGGAGCACACAAAACCUUGG